This 385-nucleotide ribosomal RNA is filed under the name uncultured bacterium. RNAcentral describes it as "bacterial SSU rRNA". It matches the Rfam family "Bacterial small subunit ribosomal RNA", at positions 30 to 417 of the family's 1533-position model. The record is from RNAcentral.
AUUGAACGCUGGCGGCAUGCCUUACACAUGCAAGUCGAACGGCAGCGGACCUUCGGGUGCCGGCGAGUGGCGGACGGGUGAGUAAUAUAUCGGAACGUACCUUUCAGUGGGGGAUAACGUAGCGAAAGUUACGCUAAUACCGCAUAUUCUGUGAGCAGGAAAGCAGGGGAUCGCAAGACCUUGCGCUGAUUGAGCGGCCGAUAUCAGAUUAGCUAGUUGGUGAGGUAAAGGCUCACCAAGGCGACGAUCUGUAGCGGGUCUGAGAGGAUGAUCCGCCACACUGGAACUGUGACACGGUCCAGACUCCUACGGGAGGCAGCAGUGGGGAAUUUUGGACAAUGGGCGCAAGCCUGAUCCAGCCAUGCCGCGUGAGUGAAGAAGGCCU